CUCCACCCAGCUCUCACACUGUGUACUAUGAGCUAAUUAGCAUGUUAGCUACCUCUCCACCCAGCUCUCACACUGUGUACUAUGAGCUAGUUAGCAUGUUAGCUACCUCUCCACCCAGAUCUCACACUGUGUACUAUUGACUAUGAGCUAGUUAGCAUGUUAGCUACCUCUCCACCCAGCUCUCACACUGUGUACUAUUGACUAUGAGCUAGUUAGCAUGUUAGCUACCUCUCCACCCAGCUCUUGUAGUUGGGGAUGUCCUUGGCGUAGAGCAGCUUGUUGGACGGGGAGUCUUUGCCGAGCCGGUGUUCGGAAGUGGAGCAGGAGUCCAUGAAGGUCUGGGCGACCACCGACAGACAGGCGUCAGUGAUGCUGCUCUUGUGGAUGUCAAACACAAACUGAGGAUUCUUAAUGACGUUCACCCAGAACCUGAGAGGAAGGCUGCGCACGCACAGAGAAUAAACGUAUUUAGUAAAUCUGCUUUUCUCCAGGUCUCGUUAGAAUCAUCACUCUCUUUUGAGUUUCUUCACCAGUUGCUCUUCCAAGUGUGUCGGACAUCCGGGUCGCUGAUCUGUCGCUUGUCGGCCUGCUCAUCCAGGAAGUCAAACAUGUACUUGAUAGCCAAUGGGAGAGCAGAGCCCCGGUGGGCGGUGCUGAACACCGUCUCAAACAGGUCGUCCACAAACUUCUGCAGCGUCCCCUGGUGCGUCAGGACCAAAGCAAGUUUAUUAUCCCACCACAAUUUAAAGGACUAAAUCAUCACAAAAUAUAUAUAUCACUCUAUGAAGAAACUAGCUACCUCUCCAAGCAGCUUUUAAAUGAGCACAGAUUAUUAGCUGUUAGCAUGUUAGCUGGUUACCUUGGUAGCCAGCAGCCUGGUCAGGUAGAUCUCAGAAACCAUCUUGCUGCCUCGGUCUCCUUCUCUCUGGUCGCUGUGCUCGUGGUUCUUCACCAGGUGCCACAGUUUAGUGCCUGGAAGCGCACAACAGGUGUAGAAUGAAGUACACGCAGUACAUAGAGUACACAAUAAUACUCAACACCACGACCACUACAGCAGUAGCUACAUUGUCUUUGUCACGUAAACAUACGGCAUGUGACAUCAGCAUGUGAUUGACUUCUACUACAACUACUAGAAGUACUAAUACUACUGAUACUUCUACCACCACUAGUACUACAGUACCCGUCUCCUGGUCCGGGGUGAUCAUAGGAGCUCUGGAUCGCAGACUAUCAGGACUGCUGGACGUUCUAAGUAACGACUCUGAAGACAAGAAGAAACAAAUGUUACCUGACAGAAAGUGUGUAGUGUACCGUGUGUAUAAGUGUGUAGUGUACUGUGUGUAUUAUGAAUGUGUACUGUGUGUGUGUGUGAGUACCGUAUCUGCUCAGAGAUCUGGUGAAGGUGAAAGAGUUGGCAAUGUUGUAGGCAGAAACCUGCUUCUGGACCAGCGCCACCAGAGAGCCGUCCGUUACCUAGCAACACACGGAGACAUCUGUCACUCAGCUGAUCCAGCAUCAGAUCUUCAUUCCCCCACAGUGCCGGUUCCUCCGGUUCCUCUGGUUCUUUUACCUGUGUGUGUAUUAGUGUGUACCUGGUAGUGUGUGUACCUGUGUGUGUGUGUAUUAGUGUGUACCUGGUAGUGUGUGUACCUGUGUGGGUGUUUAUUAGUGUGUACCUGGUAGUGUGUGUACCUGUGUGUGUGUGUAUUAGUGUGUACCUGGUAGUGUGUGUACCUGUGUGUGUGUGUAUUAGUGUGUACCUGGUAGUGUGUGUACCUGUGUGUGUGUGUGUGUAUUAGUGUGUACCUGGGAGUGUGUGUAUCUGUGUGUGUGUGUAUUAGUGUGUACCUGAUAGUGUGUGUACCUGUGUGUGUGUAUUAGUGUGUACCUGGUAGUGUGUGUACGUGUAUGUGUGUAUUAGUGUGUACCUGGUAGUGUGUGUACCUGUGUGUGUGUGUAUUAGUGUGUACCUGGUAGUGUGUGUACCGUUGUGUGUGUGUGUAUUAGUGUGUACCUGGUAGUGUGUGUACCUGUGUG
This is a long non-coding RNA of Gasterosteus aculeatus aculeatus (three-spined stickleback), 2034 nucleotides long. The record is from Ensembl. NCBI's taxonomy places the organism in Eukaryota, Metazoa, Chordata, Actinopteri, Perciformes, Gasterosteidae.